UCCGCUGGUUCCAGUAUAUUUUGACUUGAAGCUCCCCCAUGCCCUCUCUGCCAACAGAGAUGAAGUGAGAGUUGCAAUGGUCUCUGCAUCUGCUGUUGCUUAGCUGAGCCAUGGAGAGUUCUGUAGGCAGAGGACAUCAAGUGAGCAGCAUCUCCGAGGUCCAACAUGGUCUUCUUGGAAAGGCAGCUGAGUGGCUGCGUCCACAGCUCUUCCCUUGAGUGGAGGGUGACCCUGUGGGCCUCCUCGUCUUCUGCUGGGCAACUGAACACCUGCUUCCAGGAGUGUGCCAGGGGAGCCACCCCCUAGACUCCUGGGCUGGUCAGCUCUGGGUCCUCCUGCAUGCUCAGUGUGUUGCUGACACCUCUGGCCAUUCUGUAUCGUGGGAAGCUCAGGGACUCUUGGAGAGGCCCUCCCACUCUCAGGUUGUGUAUCUAGACAAAGGUCAAAGGUCAGUUCUCUACCUUCCGCGUGCUCAGCUGGUGAGCACUGGCUAUGGCAGCCAGCAGUGCCCACGGCAGUUGGUGGUGCUGCUGUGAGUCUCACAAUUCCGAGCCCCCAGAUUUCUACUGCCUGGAAGGACCAGCUGGUCUCAGGGGUCCUUGGAGUCUACCUCACCCAUCCUCUUCAUAUUUAUAGAUGGGAAAACUGAGAUCCAAAGGGCAGAAGUGGGUUGUUCAAUCUUCUCAGACUCUUCAUGGCAGGAAGACCCAAAGUUGAACCCCACUGCAGCCCAGCACCAGGGAUUUAGGAUGGCUGUUUCUUUCCUCAUUCAUCCCAACAAAGGAUACCAAAUGGGCCUGUUCAGGCUGAGCACCUGAGGAAGGCAGGUUUGCAUGAUCCAGCAUGGACUUGACUCGAGAGACACACAGGUGAAGUCAUUCAGCUUGAAGCCUUUCAUCGCUGGCUUUUCCACUUGGCACAAUGCCUUUUCUCCAACAUUUUUAUUAAGAAUUUUCAGUCAAGAAGUGAAUCACCAAGCAUAGACUACUUUCUUGCAGUACAACUUAUCCAUGCGGAGAACUGCCAUUUAAAGAGCAAAACUUUUAAUUUUAAUAAAAUCAUUA
Molecule: non-coding RNA, 1064 nt
Organism: Ictidomys tridecemlineatus (thirteen-lined ground squirrel)
Lineage: Eukaryota; Metazoa; Chordata; Mammalia; Rodentia; Sciuridae
Source: RefSeq, a predicted model, not a curated record